UGAUGACAAAUCUCCGGAAUCUCUGUAUUUCUUUGAUGAAACACUUGAACCCUUUUUCUGAUGACUGCUGUUCACAAAAAUAAAAAAAUCAGC
Haplochromis burtoni (Burton's mouthbrooder) is the source of this 93-nucleotide small nucleolar RNA. The record is from Ensembl. Lineage: Eukaryota; Metazoa; Chordata; Actinopteri; Cichliformes; Cichlidae.